GAGAGAGUGUGUGAGAGGAGAGAGUGUGUGAGAGGAGAGAGUGUGUGAGAGGAGAGAGUGUGUGAGAGGAGAGAGUGUGUGAGAGGAGAGAGUGUGUGAGAGGAGAGAGAGUGUGAGAGGAGAGAGAGUGUGAGAGGAGAGAGUGUGUGAGAGGAGAGAGAGUGUGAGAGGAGAGAGAGAGAGUGUGAGAGGAGAGAGAGUCAGUGUGUGAGAGGAGAGAGAGUGUGAGAGGAGAGAGUGUGUGAGAGGAGAGAGAGAGUGUGAGAGGAGAGAGAGUGUGAGAGAGAGAAGAGAGUGUGUGAGAGGAGAGAGAGUGUGUGAGAGGAGAGAGAGUGGGUGUUAUGCCUCCCGAUGCACCAAGAGGAACAUGAGGUCCACAGCACACCAAGAGUUAACUAGGAAAUGGCUGUUUAAAGCAGCUGGUUUCCACAACGUGGUUUCCACAUCAUUUCAACCCACCUAAAAAUCCAUGAGAUGAUGAGGAUGCAACAACGAUGACAACUCGACCAAAUGUAAAUCAAAACUACAUGUUGAACUGACGGCUGAGUGGGGACUGACUGGAGCUGUUGGCAUGGUAACCACCCUUUCUC
Long non-coding RNA from Oncorhynchus tshawytscha (Chinook salmon), 590 nucleotides. Lineage: Eukaryota; Metazoa; Chordata; Actinopteri; Salmoniformes; Salmonidae. The record is from Ensembl.